CAGCAGCCACGGUAAUACGGAGGGUGCAAGCGUUAAUCGGAAUUACUGGGCGUAAAGCGCACGCAGGCGGUCUGUUAAGUCAGAUGUGAAAUCCCCGGGCUCAACCCGGGAACUGCAUUUGAAACUGGCAGGCUUGAGUCUUGUAGAGGGGGGUAGAAUUCCAGGUGUAGCGGUGAAAUGCGUAGAGAUCUGGAGGAAUACCGGUGGCGAAGGCGGCCCCCUGGACAAAGACUGACGCUCAGGUGCGAAAGCGUGGGGAGCAAACAGGAUUAGAUACCCGUGUAGUCCCUGUCUCUUAUAA
This 301-nucleotide ribosomal RNA is filed under the name uncultured bacterium. RNAcentral describes it as "partial 16S ribosomal RNA". It matches the Rfam family "Bacterial small subunit ribosomal RNA", at positions 509 to 809 of the family's 1533-position model. The record is from RNAcentral.